UUUGAAAAGUCCACGUUGCUCACCAGUGC
RNAcentral lists this non-coding RNA (29 nucleotides) under Homo sapiens (human). The record is from RNAcentral. Lineage: Eukaryota; Metazoa; Chordata; Mammalia; Primates; Hominidae.